GACAGAGGGUGCAAACGUUGUUCGGAAUUACUGGGCGUAAAGCGCGUGUAGGCGGCCCUGUAAGUCGGGUGUGAAAUCCCACGGCUCAACCGUGGAAGUGCAUUCGAAACUACAGGGCUAGAGUUCUGGAGAGGAAGGUGGAAUGCUUGGUGUAGAGGUGAAAUUCGUAGAUAUCAAGCGGAACACCGGUGGCGAAGGCGGCGAUCUGGGACGGUACUGACGCUGAGACGCGAAAGCGUGGGGAGCGAACAGG
This 253-nucleotide ribosomal RNA is filed under the name uncultured bacterium. RNAcentral describes it as "partial 16S ribosomal RNA". It matches the Rfam family "Bacterial small subunit ribosomal RNA", at positions 524 to 776 of the family's 1533-position model. The record is from RNAcentral.